ACUUCAAGUGCAGGAUCGACAACUUCAUGCCGAGGAGUGACAUCACUUAUUUUAUUCAGAAACUUGGUAAAGUAAGACCGUGCUCUCGGAUUGAUAGCCGCCUUCAAACCUGAAAGUUAAUAAAACAUUUAGCAAAGUUAAAAUAUCUGCUAUAAAAAAACAAGUGAAACAAGCACAUACCAAUAAAAUCUUUGAGAUUUUUUUGACGUGUACAGUCAUAACAAAGCGCGAGUGGGAAUCUGGUGUGUGAAGUGAUCGAAAACUUCGAUUAUAAGCCGAUCAGCAGCAUCUAUUGAAUGGUAUGACCACGAAUUAAAUUUCAAAGGUUGGUCAAUUCAAUACAAAGGGAAUUUUGGAUAUCUCCAUCAAAAAAGUAUUUCUUUCAUUCUUCUAUCAAAAUCUUUAAAAAAACCUC
Molecule: long non-coding RNA, 415 nt
Filed under: Phaseolus vulgaris (common bean)
Lineage: Eukaryota; Viridiplantae; Streptophyta; Magnoliopsida; Fabales; Fabaceae
Description: long non-coding RNA (PVUL_LNC002420)
Source: RNAcentral